Lingula anatina is the source of this 418-nucleotide long non-coding RNA. The record is from RefSeq and is a predicted model, not a curated record. Lineage: Eukaryota; Metazoa; Brachiopoda; Lingulata; Lingulida; Lingulidae.
GUUGCAGCUUGUACGCUGAAGCUUAUUACAGGAGAUAGCAAAAGCACGCUAUUGUGAAUUAACGCCAUCGGUAUGAAGGUUGUCGCAUUCCUCGCCAUUGUCUUGAUGUUUUCAUUGGUGGUCGACCAAGCAAACGCUGGGUUUGGCUGUCCAUUUGAUCAGAAUCGAUGUCAUAACCACUGCAGGUAUAACACUAAACCUGACAACUGCGGAGGCUACUGCAACAGGUUCACGUGCACGUGCUACAAGUGCUAAGGGAAGUAAACAGACAGACCCGUGGCAAAAUGAAAUCUGGAUACAAGUGCAGGACAAGUUGGAAACAAGUUUGAUAAGGCUUUGUUCUAUCUAAUGUCAUACUUUAUUCUAAUUUUAAUUUGCAACGUGGCAUUUGGGCAAAUAAAGAUGUCUUGAAGCAAGA